GGGUAUAUAGUUCAGCGGUAGAGUGUGUGCUUAGCAUGCAUGAGGUCCUGGUUUCAAAUUCCAGAACCUCCA
Molecule: transfer RNA, 72 nt
Filed under: Camelus bactrianus (Bactrian camel)
Lineage: Eukaryota; Metazoa; Chordata; Mammalia; Artiodactyla; Camelidae
Also listed under: 2 other names
Rfam family: tRNA
About the family: Transfer RNA (tRNA) molecules are approximately 80 nucleotides in length. Their secondary structure includes four short double-helical elements and three loops (D, anti-codon, and T loops). Further hydrogen bonds mediate the characteristic L-shaped molecular structure. tRNAs have two regions of fundamental functional importance: the anti-codon, which is responsible for specific mRNA codon recognition, and the 3' end, to which the tRNAs corresponding amino acid is attached (by aminoacyl-tRNA synthetases). tRNAs cope with the degeneracy of the genetic code in two manners: having more than one tRNA (with a specific anti-codon) for a particular amino acid; and 'wobble' base-pairing, i.e. permitting non-standard base-pairing at the 3rd anti-codon position.
Source: Rfam by way of RNAcentral